AAGACAUUAAAUUAAAAAGAAAAAAAAGAAAAUAUAUAGAAGAGGAAUAAGAAGAAAGAUCAGCUGGGCUGUUUCGGUCUGAAGCCAAGACAAGGCAGUAUCGCUUUACGGCGAUUUGAGGGUUUCGAAUCAUUUGUCUUCGCCAUUUCGAGUUGUCUACUGGAAGCUGCAGAUGUAUGUGAUUGAGUAUAAAGUCUGAGAAAUAUUGAUUUUCAACAGUUUUCUCUUUUCUUUUGUCCUUAUCUGAUUUGGGUAGUUUUGAUUUGUAAGAAUGGGGUUGUUUAGAGCUGGUUCUGCUUUGGCGAAGAUUGCCAUUAGGAGAACUUUAGCACAAGGGGGAGGAUCUUAUGCUGCGAGAUCACGUAUUAUUUCAUCUCAGAAUCGAUAUUUUCACACCACGGUUUUUAAGCCCAAAGCACAAUCUGCGCCAGUGCCUCGCCCUGUUCCUCUUUCGAAGCUAACUGAUAGCUUUCUGGAUGGGACGAGCAGUGUGUAUUUGGAGGAGCUUCAAAGGGCUUGGGAGGCUGACCCCAACAGUGUUGAUGAGUCUUGGGAUAAUUUCUUCAGGAAUUUUGUGGGUCAGGCGGCAACGUCUCCUGGUAUUUCAGGGCAGACAAUUCAAGAGAGUAUGCGUUUGUUGUUGCUUGUUAGGGCUUACCAGGUUAAUGGUCACAUGAAAGCCAAGUUGGAUCCUUUGAGUUUGGAAGAAAGAGAAAUCCCGGAUGAUUUGGAUCCUGCCCUUUAUGGAUUUACAGAUGCUGAUCUUGAUAGGGAAUUCUUUCUUGGUGUGUGGAGGAUGGCUGGAUUUUUAUCAGAAAAUCGUCCAGUGCAGACUCUCAGAUCAAUUUUGACCCGUCUUGAGCAAGCUUACUGUGGGAGUGUUGGAUAUGAAUAUAUGCAUAUUGCAGAUCGUAACAAAUGUAACUGGUUGAGAGACAAGAUUGAGACCCCAACACCAAUGCAGUACAAUCGGCAGCGCCGAGAGGUGAUUCUUGAUCGCCUUAUAUGGAGCACACAGUUUGAGAACUUCUUAGCCACUAAGUGGACCACAGCAAAAAGAUUUGGGCUUGAAGGUGGUGAGACUUUGAUUCCAGGGAUGAAGGAGAUGUUUGACAGGGCUGCAGAUCUUGGAGUUGAGAGCAUUGUUAUUGGAAUGCCUCACCGAGGAAGAUUAAAUGUUUUGGGUAAUGUUGUUCGGAAGCCUCUUAGACAGAUCUUUAGUGAGUUUAGUGGUGGUACGAAGCCUGUGGAUGAAGUUGGACUUUACACAGGAACUGGUGAUGUCAAAUAUCACUUGGGUACUUCCUAUGAUCGACCGACUAGGGGUGGAAAACAUAUUCAUCUUUCUUUGGUUGCAAAUCCAAGUCAUUUGGAAGCUGUUGAUCCAGUUGUUGUUGGGAAAACUAGAGCAAAGCAAUAUUACUCCAAUGACAUUGAAAGGAUCAAGAAUAUGGGCAUUUUGAUUCAUGGUGAUGGUAGCUUUGCAGGACAAGGUGUGGUGUAUGAAACUCUUCAUCUUAGUGCUCUUCCUAACUACACCACUGGAGGAACAAUCCACAUUGUCGUGAAUAAUCAAGUCGCUUUUACUACUGAUCCUAGGGCUGGAAGAUCAUCACAAUAUUGCACUGAUGUUGCCAAAGCUUUGGAUGCUCCUAUUUUGCAUGUAAAUGGCGAUGACAUGGAAGCUGUUGUCCAUGUUUGUGAGCUUGCUGCAGAGUGGCGCCAAACCUUUCAUUCAGAUGUAGUUGUUGAUCUGGUUUGUUAUCGUCGGUUCGGACACAAUGAGAUUGAUGAGCCAUCGUUCACACAACCUAAGAUGUAUCAGGUCAUCAGGAAUCAUCCUUCAUCUCUUGAGAUCUACCAGAAAAAACUCUUAGAAUCUGGGCAGGUGAGUCAGGAGGAUAUCAAUAAAAUACGUGAUAAGGUCAAUAAAAUCCUUAAUGAAGAAUUUUUGGCGAGCAAAGAUUAUGUUCCGAAGAGAAGAGACUGGCUUUCGGCAUAUUGGUCUGGUUUCAAGUCUCCUGAACAGAUCUCAAGAGUUCGGAACACUGGAGUUAAACCAGAGAUACUAAAGAAUGUUGGAAAAGCAAUUACUGUAUUUCCAGAAAAUUUCAAGCCUCACAGAGCAGUCAAAAAAGUUUAUGAACAAAGAGCACAAAUGAUUGAAACAGGAGAGGGCAUUGACUGGGCACUUGGUGAAGCCCUUGCUUUUGCCACUUUGCUUGUGGAAGGUAACCACGUCAGAUUGAGCGGCCAAGAUGUUGAGAGAGGUACCUUUAGUCAUCGACAUUCUGUUGUGCAUGAUCAAGAAACGGGGGCGAUCUACUGUCCUCUGGACCAUGUUAUCAUGAAUCAGAACGAGGAGAUGUUCACUGUAAGCAACAGUUCUCUUUCAGAGUUUGGAGUUCUUGGAUUUGAGUUGGGUUAUUCGAUGGAAAAUCCUAAUUCAUUGGUAAUAUGGGAAGCCCAGUUUGGUGAUUUUUCAAAUGGUGCUCAAGUUAUAUUUGAUCAAUUCUUGAGCAGUGGUGAAGCAAAGUGGCUGCGGCAGACAGGGCUUGUUGUGCUGCUUCCUCAUGGCUAUGAUGGCCAGGGCCCUGAACAUUCAAGUGCAAGGUUGGAACGUUUCCUUCAGAUGAGUGACGAUAACCCUUUUGUUAUUCCGGAGAUGGAUUCUACCCUUAGAAAGCAAAUUCAGGAAUGCAACUGGCAAGUUGUGAAUGUUACCACUCCCGCCAACUAUUUCCAUGUUCUUCGGAGACAGAUUCACAGGGAGUUCCGUAAGCCCCUAGUUGUGAUGGCACCUAAGAAUCUUCUUCGACACAAAGAUUGCAAGUCUAAUUUGUCCGAGUUUGAUGAUGUUCAAGGUCAUCCAGGCUUUGACAAGCAGGGAACCAGAUUUAAGCGCCUCAUAAAGGACCAGAACAAUCACUCUGAUCAUGAAGAGGGUAUUAGACGUCUAGUUCUUUGCUCUGGAAAGAUUUACUAUGAGCUUGAUGACGAGCGAACAAAAACGGAUGGAAAAGACGUUGCUAUAUGUAGGGUCGAACAACUUUGCCCCUUUCCUUACGACCUCAUCCAGCGGGAGCUGAAGCGAUAUCCAAAUGCCGAGGUCGUCUGGUGUCAGGAGGAACCGAUGAACAUGGGCGCAUUUACCUACAUUUCUCCCCGUCUUGCCACUGCCAUGAGGGCUCUUGGAAGAGGCACAUCAGAAGACAUUAAAUAUGUUGGUCGUGCUCCGUCAGCCUCUACUGCCACUGGAUUCUAUACUGUUCACGUAAAGGAACAAACUGAGCUGGUGAAGAAAGCAUUACAGCCUGAACCUAUCAAUAACGGCUUCUGAACACAUUCUUAGUUCUAUAACUUUGGAAUUUCUCCAGAAUAAUCCUAAACAUUCCAGCAAUGUUUGAUGCGAGCAUCAUCCACUAAGACCAUUUUUUAAUUGAGAUUUCCUUUUUUUUGACGUUGAUAUGUCGAUGAUAAUAGCUUUUUUGUGGUUGGAUUAAUAGAAGAUUGGAUAUACUUUGUUCAAUAAUUGCAGAAAGACUAAUCUGCACAGUUUUCCACUCACUCACCAAUGAAAGUAGUCUUUGUUUUUGUUUUCUUCACAAGUGGUCCGAUUAUGUAUAAUUUGAUCUCAAAUCUCGAUGCUACACUCUUUCAAUUAUACUUUAAUGUCGUUUCUCUAUGGAAGGAAACUCUCUUAUUCUCA
This is an RNA transcript of Cucumis melo (muskmelon), 3709 nucleotides long. RefSeq lists it as uncharacterized. The record is from RefSeq and is a predicted model, not a curated record. The transcript has 10 exons. Lineage: Eukaryota; Viridiplantae; Streptophyta; Magnoliopsida; Cucurbitales; Cucurbitaceae.